UCCAGGCAAAUACUCCAAGGACCAAGAUGAUGUAAUAUUUCGUCGGUACAAAGCCAAGUGUGAGCAGCUGCUUCUAACUAACAGCAGGCAAAUACUUGAAGGACUAAGAGAAAGUGAUAUUCCCUCAGUCCAAAGCCAAGUGUGACCAGCUGCUUCUAACAAACAGAAGGUAUUUUACCGCUGUCAGAGCAGAGAACAUCCUUCCCACAGGCACAGAGCAGAUUGAGUCAGACAUACAUUGAAGUCAAUUUCCAGCGAGAUAUGCUCAAACAACA
Rhincodon typus (whale shark) is the source of this 275-nucleotide long non-coding RNA. RefSeq lists it as uncharacterized. The transcript has 2 exons. NCBI's taxonomy places the organism in Eukaryota, Metazoa, Chordata, Chondrichthyes, Orectolobiformes, Rhincodontidae. The record is from RefSeq and is a predicted model, not a curated record.